GGAGUCGGCCGGGCAGUCGCUGUGCUUCGUUUAAUGAGGUGUGGAGGAAAGUCCGGGCUCCACAGGACAGAGUGCCAGGUAACGCCUGGGCGGCGUGAGCCGACGGAAAGUGCCACAGAAAAUAUACCGCCGAUGAUUCGAAGCCUGUCUUCGAAAACAGGUAAGGUUGAAAUGGUGCGGUAAGAGCGCACCGCGCUGCUGGCAACAGCAGUGGCAGGGUAAACCCCACUUGGAGCAAGACCGAAUAGGGGGACGCUUGGUGUGGUCCGCACAAGUCCCCGGGUAGGUCGCACGAGGUGCACGGCGACGUGCAUCCCAGAUGAAUGACUGUCCUCGACAGAACCCGGCUUACAGGCCGGCUUCCACC
This 367-nucleotide RNase P RNA is filed under the name Gammaproteobacteria bacterium. RNAcentral describes it as "RNase P RNA component class A". It matches the Rfam family "Bacterial RNase P class A". Rfam says of the family: Ribonuclease P (RNase P) is a ubiquitous endoribonuclease, found in archaea, bacteria and eukarya as well as chloroplasts and mitochondria. Its best characterised activity is the generation of mature 5'-ends of tRNAs by cleaving the 5'-leader elements of precursor-tRNAs. Lineage: Bacteria; Pseudomonadati; Pseudomonadota; Gammaproteobacteria. The record is from RNAcentral.